This 3968-nucleotide long non-coding RNA is filed under the name Brassica rapa (field mustard). RNAcentral describes it as "long non-coding RNA (BRAP_LNC008175)". Lineage: Eukaryota; Viridiplantae; Streptophyta; Magnoliopsida; Brassicales; Brassicaceae. The record is from RNAcentral.
AAAGAUACUGAAAAUGUUUAUGAUUGAACUGUGAGAUUGUGUGCAUCAAUUGGGAUGCAGGAUAUUCAUUUUGUUGGUGUUGAUAGGUACUGAUGCACCUUUGGGAUAAUGUAUCAGGUGUUGAACUGAAGAGAAGAAUGGAGCUUGUGCAUAAAUAGGGGCAAGCUCUUGAAGAUCUUAAGAAGAGUUCUAUGAAGCUUCAGAAGUGAUGAGAAGCUGAUAUAAGGUUGGGAUAAAGGCUAAGAAGAGUUCAGAUAGAAGUGGAGUAGUCUUUGGAUGAGUUAAGGAGAGAAAGGUAGAUGGUGCAAAGAUAGGGACAGCCAUGUACGGCCAUGUACGGAUGGUACGGCCCGGGAAGGACAUGGCUGAUCCAAAAGAGUUUCUAUCAAGUCUUGGGAUGUUUUGGAGUUGUGCAAAGAUAGGGCGCGAUGUGAGAGAAGCAACCCUAAUCCGUACACUCAGCUGAUGAAGACUUGUGAUGCAAGGCAUGAAGAAGGCUUAGGGCAAGAGAGCAAAGAUCCUAAAGGCAUAUGCUGUCCGAGAUGCUUUAGGAAGUAACCAGGAAGGUGCUGAGCUCUCUUGACCGUUUAUGGAUAAGAAACCUUAUCCAUACAGCUUGUUCAAAUUCAAAUAAGCAAGCUGGCAUGAGCUGUAAAGUAAAGGCAAAGAAGAAGUCAUGUAUCUGGCCAAAGGAGAGGGAAGAUACAUGGAGCUUUAAGAAAAGCAAUCAGGCGCCAGCAAGCAAGAACCAACCACCAUUCAGCCUUCCUUGACCAGAUCCAAAGCUACAUCCAAGCCAUUCAUUUCCCAAAGUCAUUUAGAGCCAUCAGAUUUAGGUUUAUGAGUUUCAGAGUGUGAAAACAUAUAUAAACUGAUGUAUGGACGUUUUGUAAGCUCUAAGAGAGUAUGGGGGUUUUCCCCAUCUCCUUCAUAAAUAUAAAAGUGUGUUCUUGAUCAGAUUCCCUUAAUCUACCCCUUUCUUAGUCUCUAAUCUCUUAAUCUCUCUAAGUCUCUUUGUUUCUGAUUCAAGUUCAUACGAGUUUCAUCAGACCUCUUAUUCAACUAGUUCAAGACCUUAUCCUUUGCCUCUAAUGGCUUCUCAUACACAUACACAGCCAGAGCUCUCAAAUCUCAUAUGGUAUCAGAGCCAUGUUCAUCAGAACCUGAGCUGAAGCUUCCGCAAACACACUGCUCUCUCCUCAGCUCAAAUCCAAACCAUUGAAGCUCUCUCCAUCCGGUUCAGCUCCUUAUGAAGGAGAAGACUGAAGCUUGGCGAGUUCUCAUGGUUCCUCAUCCUGUUCUCUUCCUGUCCUGAUGGUGAUUCUCCUUGGAAGCAGAGGUGUAUGGACAAGGCCUAGCUAUCCUUGUACCAAGGCGCCUUGUCCAAGAGAAGAACACAUCCGGUUCCAAAGAAGAUGGUGUCAAGAGCUUGGCGCCUAAAGGAGAUGAAGAAAGGAGGGGUCUUUGAAGCUGAUGGUACAAGAUGGAGGCCAUGAAUAGAAGGUGAAAGAGGUGGGUGACGAUCCACACUCUCAAGACCAACAAAGCAUGGUCGGUUUCAUGAAAGGUUAAGGAACCAACCUGGUUCCUUGUGUAAGCGAUUCUUUAAAACCUUCUUGAUAUUGAGCUUGUGGUGUUACUGUGCCUGGCUAGUGUGAUGUGUAUUGAUUGAAAAACCCUGAGGAUAAUGUGUGAUUGCUAAAUAUAAUUAGUUGAAUCUGUCCCAGGAUGCUUUAAAGGCUUGUUUAGUGUUUAAAGAGUAAAAUGCUUGCUCCUGUUAAGUAAUGAGUUUGCUAAAUGUGAAAUGAUAUUGUUUGAAGCUCAUGAACUGAAAACAGAUUGAAAGUAAUGCAUUGUCUGAUGUUAAGUGAUGAUAGUAAUGCUUAGCCUAAGUUAUAAAUGAAUGUGUGAUGAAUUGUAUUGUUGCAUUCAUGAAUUAAAACUGAUUAAGGUUAGUGCAUACUGUCAAAUGGCUGUCUUACAUUGAAGCAUUAGAUUCAUGUCUAAAUGCUGAGUAAAGAAGCUUUAAAAAUUGCCUAAGUAGCUUGUAUUGAAUCUGUUAGGAUCAUGCUAGUGCUUAGAGAGUUUGCUUGCAAAGAUUAGAACUUGAAAAUGUCUAGUUUAAUCUGUUGCAUUGCUUAAAGACAUUGGUGUUCAAACUUGAUGAUGCAUCAAGGGUUGACCCAAUGCACUUGUGUCUUAUCUUUGCUGGAGUUUGAGUGAUGUUUCAGGUUCACAAGAGGUGUUCUUGGUUCACCAUCCAUCCGAGUUGAAAGAGGAAGACUUUGCCCAUUGUGUGGAGCAAUGGAGAGUUGAGAAAGAAGUGGUGAUGCGCCACUGGUGUGAAGUGUCACUGAAGCUCACUUGCAAGCUUGGACCUAUACUCAAUCCAAGCUUGAGGAGGGGAGUUUAGUGAGCUUCCAAGCGAUCCAAGAAGUCCAUUCCAAGCAUCUGAAGAAGGAGCCAUCCGGGCUUAGGCUGUGGCGAGUCUAUUCAAGAGAGUACUCAAACUAAGACAGAGUAUUCUUGGCUGUGAGAAGAUGAAGGCAACUCUAUCAAGGCCGCUUCUAGUGUGAAGUGAUUGGAGAGAUAGCUGAAGCUUCCACAAGCAUUCCAUGAAGAUGGCAAGAUCAGAAGAGGAGCGGCAAUGGUGUGUGUGUGAGGAUCAUGAAGCAAUCCAUUCAAGCUUGUUCCUGUGAGAGUCUCAAGCUUGAGGGGGAGUGUUGAAGCUUACAUGAUCCAAGAGAGCUUGGUGGUUACUCUAGAAGAAGAAGAAGCAGCCAAGACUCAGUAAGAAGAAGUUGUAUCUCCAAGAAGAAGCUGAUCUGGUGUGUCCGAGCACUUCAACCUAACAAGAGGUUAGGUGAAAGGGGGAGAGACCAAGAUUAGGCAGUAAGGAGAGUACAAGGCGUGGGGUGAUUGUAGAGGCCAUGAUCCAGAGUCUUUGUGUCCCUUACAUUGUUGGUAAGGCACAAAGACUCACUGGCCAAUCCCUAGGCCUUGGAGACUUUACUCUUUUUCCCUCAUCAAGGUUUUGUCCCAAAGGGUUUUCCUUGGUGAGGUUUUUAAUGAGGAAGUUCUUCAGGGUUCCAAGCUUGACUUAGGAUCAACUAAAGUCAAGCUUGAGGGGGAGUGUUGAACUGAAGAGAAGAAUGGAGCUUGUGCAUAAAUAGGGGCAAGCUCUUGAAGAUCUUAAGAAGAGUUCUAUGAAGCUUCAGAAGUGAUGAGAAGCUGAUAUAAGGUUGGGAUAAAGGCUAAGAAGAGUUCAGAUAGAAGUGGAGUAGUCUUUGGAUGAGUUAAGGAGAGAAAGGUAGAUGGUGCAAAGAUAGGGACAGCCAUGUACGGCCAUGUACGGAUGGUACGGCCCGGGAAGGACAUGGCUGAUCCAAAAGAGUUUCUAUCAAGUCUUGGGAUGUUUUGGAGUUGUGCAAAGAUAGGGCGCGAUGUGAGAGAAGCAACCCUAAUCCGUACACUCAGCUGAUGAAGACUUGUGAUGCAAGGCAUGAAGAAGGCUUAGGGCAAGAGAGCAAAGAUCCUAAAGGCAUAUGCUGUCCGAGAUGCUUUAGGAAGUAACCAGGAAGGUGCUGAGCUCUCUUGACCGUUUAUGGAUAAGAAACCUUAUCCAUACAGCUUGUUCAAAUUCAAAUAAGCAAGCUGGCAUGAGCUGUAAAGUAAAGGCAAAGAAGAAGUCAUGUAUCUGGCCAAAGGAGAGGGAAGAUACAUGGAGCUUUAAGAAAAGCAAUCAGGCGCCAGCAAGCAAGAACCAAUCACCAUUCAGCCUUCCUUGACCAGAUCCAAAGCUACAUCCAAGCCAUUCAUUUCCCAAAGUCAUUUAGAGCCAUCAGAUUUAGGUUUAUGAGUUUCAGAGUGUGAAAACAUAUAUAAACUGAUGUAUGGACGUUUUGUAAGCUCUAAGAGAGUAUGGGGGUUUUCCCCAUCUCCUUCAUAAAUAUAAAAGUGUGUUCUUG